GAUGAACGCUGGCGGCGUGCCUAAUACAUGCAAGUCGAGCGAACAGACGAGGAGCUUGCUCCUCUGACGUUAGCGGCGGACGGGUGAGUAACACGUGGAUAACCUACCUAUAAGACUGGGAUAACUUCGGGAAACCGGAGCUAAUACCGGAUAAUAUAUUGAACCGCAUGGUUCAAUAGUGAAAGACGGUUUUGCUGUCACUUAUAGAUGGAUCCGCGCCGCAUUAGCUAGUUGGUAAGGUAACGGCUUACCAAGGCGACGAUGCGUAGCCGACCUGAGAGGGUGAUCGGCCACACUGGAACUGAGACACGGUCCAGACUCCUACGGGAGGCAGCAGUAGGGAAUCUUCCGCAAUGGGCGAAAGCUUGACGGGGCAACGCCGCGUGAGUGAUGAAGGUCUUCGGAUCGUAAAACUCUGUUAUUAGGGAAGAACAAAUGUGUAAGUAACUAUGCACGUCUUGACGGUACCUAAUCAGAAAGCCACGGCUAACUACGUG
This 497-nucleotide ribosomal RNA is filed under the name uncultured bacterium. Its description in RNAcentral is "partial 16S ribosomal RNA". It matches the Rfam family "Bacterial small subunit ribosomal RNA", at positions 28 to 507 of the family's 1533-position model. The record is from RNAcentral.